AGAGGGCCGACCCGUCAGGCGUUGAUCACCGGGCCAACGGGAGACAAUGUGGCGUGAUGCUGACGCAGCCCACUGACAAGCCAGCGCGAGGCCCAGGGGAGCAGCUCUGAGCCGAGCAGCCAGAGCCAGGCAGCCUUUCCUGCAGACUCCAGGACUUCAGGCAUUUGACCCCAAAUUCUUUAUUUGUUUCACCUCCUCUUGAAGGACUGCAAGCAUGGUUUCUUCAGAUGCCCACUUAAGGAAAACUUCUCAACUCUUCUACUUCUAAGAAUCCCCUGCCUCCAUCCCUAGAGAAUCAUGGCUUCAAAAUGAAACAUAAAACAAAGUUUUGAGCUGACUUUGGUAAGUACAAGACCUAGGGCUUGUGAUUCCCUCCCCUGCCCUUAGCCCAAUCCAUAAAUCUUUUCAUUUAAGUCAAACUUGAUAAAAACAACAAUUUAAAAUUUCCUUGAAGGGAAAAACAAGUUUUUGGAAGGUCAACCUAGAAGUUGUGAAUGGAUAUGUUAGGGACAGCAUCAUAGAUUUUGCCUUGGAAAUUUAGGAA
This 544-nucleotide long non-coding RNA is filed under the name Capra hircus (goat). RNAcentral describes it as "lncRNA (ENSCHIG00000006362.1)". Lineage: Eukaryota; Metazoa; Chordata; Mammalia; Artiodactyla; Bovidae. The record is from RNAcentral.